Streptomyces sp. MP131-18 is the source of this 75-nucleotide non-coding RNA. It matches the Rfam family "ASpks TB sRNA". The record is from Rfam. Lineage: Bacteria; Bacillati; Actinomycetota; Actinomycetes; Kitasatosporales; Streptomycetaceae.
CUUGACCGAGCCCAGCCACAACGGCCGCCCCGCCGACCGUUCCUGCCCGUAGGUCGCCAGCAGCGCCUGCGCCUC